Long non-coding RNA from Carcharodon carcharias (great white shark), 776 nucleotides. RefSeq lists it as uncharacterized. Lineage: Eukaryota; Metazoa; Chordata; Chondrichthyes; Lamniformes; Lamnidae. The transcript has 4 exons. The record is from RefSeq and is a predicted model, not a curated record.
GAAGCUCGUGGAAAUCAGUUUAUUCAGCCUUGCCACUUUCUUUCUCUCUCCCUCCCUUGUCUCCUGCACACUUGCUGGCUCCUCUUUCUCUGUGUAUUACCGACUGUCACGAAGACGACUUACACCUCACAAAUCAUCUUGCACCUAAAUCUGACGCCUAGAGUCAUUAACAAAGUAAUCCAUUAAUCUUCAAAGUUUUGACACUGGACCCCAGAACCCAGCCACAUAAGAAGUUACACAGACGAAGCUACAGCCAUUUGCUUCAUGUUUUCGUUGGGAGUUCGGUCCCCCUAUUAUUAUAUUUGUACAGUACCGGACACUCUUUGAUUAUUGUGCUGUAUGAAGGCAAUAAUUCAAGCAGGAGGUCGAAUAUGGCGGUGAUUCUGGAUACUACGUUAUAUUAUUUUAUACUCGUUUGUUUAAACCAACGAAAAACGUAAAAGGCGUUUCACUGAAGCAUAUUCAACGCUACUGAGCUAUAACGCAGCAUAAGGAAAAAGACACCGACCCCGCUCAGAAUGCUUCAGUUCUGCGACACAUAUGGCUUGAAGAAAAAAUAUAAUCGCUUUCGGGAUGUAUAUAUGCAUACGAAACCGUAGUUAGAUUGUUACUGUGUUGAUUUUUUGGGAAAACGGACCGGAAACCGGCGACAAAUAGUAAUGUUUCUCGGCUGGCGAAAUAUUGUUUACCCAAUGCAAUAUCUGUAUAUUUUACGUGUACCUUAUGCCUCUUGAUCAAACAAAGCAUUAUUAAUAAUUAAAAAAUUAAGCCCGUAA